This 554-nucleotide ribosomal RNA is filed under the name Bifidobacterium pseudolongum subsp. globosum. Its description in RNAcentral is "bacterial SSU rRNA". It matches the Rfam family "Bacterial small subunit ribosomal RNA", at positions 158 to 711 of the family's 1533-position model. Lineage: Bacteria; Bacillati; Actinomycetota; Actinomycetes; Bifidobacteriales; Bifidobacteriaceae. The record is from RNAcentral.
GGGUGGUAAUGCCGGAUGUUCCACAUGAGCGCAUGCGAGUGUGGGAAAGGCUUUUUGCGGCAUGGGAUGGGGUCGCGUCCUAUCAGCUUGUUGGUGGGGUAACGGCCUACCAAGGCGUUGACGGGUAGCCGGCCUGAGAGGGCGACCGGCCACAUUGGGACUGAGAUACGGCCCAGACUCCUACGGGAGGCAGCAGUGGGGAAUAUUGCACAAUGGGCGCAAGCCUGAUGCAGCGACGCCGCGUGCGGGAUGGAGGCCUUCGGGUUGUAAACCGCUUUUGUUCAAGGGCAAGGCACGGUUUUUUGGCCGUGUUGAGUGGAUUGUUCGAAUAAGCACCGGCUAACUACGUGCCAGCAGCCGCGGUAAUACGUAGGGUGCAAGCGUUAUCCGGAUUUAUUGGGCGUAAAGGGCUCGUAGGCGGUUCGUCGCGUCCGGUGUGAAAGUCCAUCGCUUAACGGUGGAUCCGCGCCGGGUACGGGCGGGCUUGAGUGCGGUAGGGGAGACUGGAAUUCCCGGUGUAACGGUGGAAUGUGUAGAUAUCGGGAAGAACACCA